Molecule: long non-coding RNA, 1374 nt
Organism: Actinia tenebrosa (Australian red waratah sea anemone)
Lineage: Eukaryota; Metazoa; Cnidaria; Anthozoa; Actiniaria; Actiniidae
Source: RefSeq, a predicted model, not a curated record
CUAUGUCCCUGCAGCACAGAAAGAGAAGGGAAUAUGGGAUGCACCAUCAGCUUCCCGGUUCACCAAUAGCUUGAUGCUAUACUGCAGGAUGACAUCCUUGCAGGUAUCACUGCCAGGGUUCAUUACAUCCUCAGUGGUUCUUUUACAGUAUAUUGUUGUAGAUGGGGCUGCCAUUUAAAGUUGUCAUCCAAGCAACAAGGGAUUCACAGUCCCCAAUAUAGAGAGACAUGACUUUUUCAUCUUCCAAUUUUUCACCCUCAGCCAGGGGUCAAACCUGAUUUUUUACAGAUUAAAAGCUGGAAGCACUAGCCACUGCAUCAUCAAGCUAUUAUGUAUCAGAGGGAGAAAAGACAAAGUUCAUGGAAAAGAAAGCAUCAUAUCAAUGUAAAUUCAUAAACUCAUAUGGAAAAAGGUUGUAGGAACCAAAGAAGAUCAGAAAUAGGUGAUAGCUGAUUGGAGAUAGGUCAUUCCAAUGGAUCGAAGAAUAGCUGGAAUAUUAUUCUCUAUUCUAAAUUAAUAUUAUAUUAUUUUGCUCUAACAACUUAUUUUGAAAUAGGUACUGUAUAUAUAGAAAGAAAGUAAAAGUUUAGAAUAUAUUAAAAUUAUUACUGAGUUAAUUGCAGUAUAUGCUAAUACAUACUUGUAAUCUUGAUCUAAUGACUUGGUAAGGGUAGGUGACACUAGCGGCAAAUAUCUUAGACAAGGAAGCCAUAAUCAAGUAAUCAAAAGAAUUCUGGGGAAAAAAGAAGAAAAGUAUUUAUUGAGAGAUUGCUCGAUCGCCUCAAUGUGACCAGGGUUCAAUUUCUAGACCUGGUGCCAUAUGCAAGUAGAGUUUUCUAGUUGGUUUUCUUCUGUGCUUUGAGGGUUUUUAACCUGGUUUUACCGGCUUACCUACUGUACCUGCCGCAAAAACCACCUUUUCUAAAUUCCUAUUCCAUCAGGGAAAGAGGGACAAGUGUUACCCUUGUAAACCAGAACAAUAUUAUUAUAAAUAUGCAUGCAAAUCUACUACAGUACCUACCAGUUUCUGGUUGAUUGGUGGAUUAAAAUAAUGACUAUGAGCUUUCUUUAAUUCUUCGUAGGCCAUAAAUUGAAGUGCUCCAUGGGUUACACCAAAUAUUCCUGGUAGAUAUCCCUGAUGGAAAAUAAUCAAGCCUAUCAUAAUUAAUACAUGUAACAUAUGCUGUAAACCUGGAACUGGUGCAGAGCACCCUAGAUAGUGGUAGAACGGAAGCAAGAUAAAUUUUCAUUCACCCACCAUGACCAUAUUCUAAUGAUGGAAUGGCAAUAAUGAAAUUAACAAACCUUGUACAGCCCCCUCAAGCCUUCAUAUCUCCACACUUUUACCAAAGUAUCUAGUUUUGCAAAGGACAA